GAUGAACGCUAGCUACAGGCUUAACACAUGCAAGUCGAGGGGCAGCAUUAUCGAAGCUUGCUUUGGUAGAUGGCGACCGGCGCACGGGUGAGUAACGCGUAUCCAACCUUCCCCAUAGUAGGGCAUAGCCCGUAGAAAUGCGGAUUAAUACCCUAUGUAUUCCGAGGAUGACAUCUGAUUCGGAACAAAGGUUCACCGCUAUGGGAUGGGGAUGCGUCUGAUUAGGUAGUCGGCGGGGUAACGGCCUACCAAAGCGACGAUCUGUAGCCGGCCUGAGAGGGCGGACGGCCACAUUGGGACUGAGACACGGCCCAAACUCC
Molecule: ribosomal RNA, 320 nt
Filed under: uncultured Prevotella sp.
Lineage: Bacteria; Pseudomonadati; Bacteroidota; Bacteroidia; Bacteroidales; Prevotellaceae
Description: bacterial SSU rRNA
Rfam family: Bacterial small subunit ribosomal RNA
Source: RNAcentral